CGCGGCCUAUCAGCUUGUUGGUGAGGUAACGGCUCACCAAGGCUACGACGGGUAGCUGGUCUGAGAGGACGACCAGCCACACUGGGACUGAGACACGGCCCAGACUCCUACGGGAGGCAGCAGCAGGGAAUAUUGCACAAUGGGCGAAAGCCUGAUGCAGCGACGCCGCGUGAGGGAUGAAGGCCUUCGGGUUGUAAACCUCUUUCAGGAGGGGAGAAGCGAAAGUGACGGUACCUCCAGAAGAAGCCCCGGCCAACUACGUGCCAGCAGCCGCGGUAAUACGUAGGGGGCAAGCGUUGUCCGGAUUCAUUGGGCGUAAAGAGCUCGUAGGCGGCUCAGCAAGUCGGUCGUGAAAGCCCGGGGCUCAACCCCGGGACGCCGAUCGAAACUGCUGUGGCUAGGGUCCGGUAGAGGAGAGUGGAAUUCCCGGUGUAGCGGUGAAAUGCGCAGAUAUCGGGAGGAACACCAGUAGCGAAGGCGGCUCUCUGGGCCGGUACCGACGCUGAGGAGCGAAAGCUAGGGGAGCAAACAGGAUUAGAUACCCUGGUAGUCCUAGCCGUAAACGUUGGGCACUAGGUGUGGCGGACUCAUUGACGUCUGCCGUGCCGAAGCAAACGCAUUAAGUGCCCCGCCUGGGGAGUACGG
RNAcentral lists this ribosomal RNA (645 nucleotides) under uncultured actinomycete. Its description in RNAcentral is "bacterial SSU rRNA". It matches the Rfam family "Bacterial small subunit ribosomal RNA", at positions 232 to 885 of the family's 1533-position model. Lineage: Bacteria; Bacillati; Actinomycetota; Actinomycetes; Actinomycetales. The record is from RNAcentral.